RNAcentral lists this ribosomal RNA (543 nucleotides) under uncultured bacterium. RNAcentral describes it as "partial 16S ribosomal RNA". It matches the Rfam family "Bacterial small subunit ribosomal RNA", at positions 355 to 889 of the family's 1533-position model. The record is from RNAcentral.
UGGGGAAUUUUGGACAAUGGGCGAAAGCCUGAUCCAGCAAUGCCGCGUGUGUGAAGAAGGCCUUCGGGUUGUAAAGCACUUUUGUCCGGAAAGAAAUCCUUGGCUCUAAUACAGUCGGGGGAUGACGGUACCGGAAGAAUAAGCACCGGCUAACUACGUGCCAGCAGCCGCGGUAAUACGUAGGGUGCAAGCGUUAAUCGGAAUUACUGGGCGUAAAGCGUGCGCAGGCGGUUUGCUAAGACCGAUGUGAAAUCCCCGGGCUCAACCUGGGAACUGCAUUGGUGACUGGCAGGCUAGAGUAUGGCAGAGGGGGGUAGAAUUCCACGUGUAGCAGUGAAAUGCGUAGAGAUGUGGAGGAAUACCGAUGGCGAAGGCAGCCCCCUGGGCCAAUACUGACGCUCAUGCACGAAAGCGUGGGGAGCAAACAGGAUUAGAUACCCUGGUAGUCCACGCCCUAAACGAUGUCAACUAGUUGUUGGGGAUUCAUUUCCUUAGUAACGUAGCUAAACGCGUGAAGUUGACCGCCUGGGGGAGUACGGUCGC